GUGAAAUGGAAUUUUCAUACCACAUCAUACCUAGAAACCUUUCAAUUUUUAGAGUUCCCCUUUAUGACUGCAUGCGGUUGAAGAAAGUAAGAAAGCUCAGCUUAACAACACAUAAGAAAGUAAGAAAGCUCAGCUUAACAACACAUAGAUGCACGCUAAAAGAAUGCUUUGAUGACAUUAACCAAAGAAAUUUACAAACUGGGAACGGCCUGAUUUGCGUCACUGAUAAAGUGUCUUAUAUAGG
RNAcentral lists this long non-coding RNA (244 nucleotides) under Vigna radiata. Its description in RNAcentral is "long non-coding RNA (VRAD_LNC007515)". The record is from RNAcentral. Lineage: Eukaryota; Viridiplantae; Streptophyta; Magnoliopsida; Fabales; Fabaceae.